AUGGACUCGCGGCUUAUCAGCUUGUUGGUGGGGUAGUGGCUUACCAAGGCUUUGACGGGUAGCCGGCCUGAGAGGGUGACCGGCCACAUUGGGACUGAGAUACGGCCCAGACUCCUACGGGAGGCAGCAGUGGGGAAUAUUGCACAAUGGGUGAAGCCUGAUGCAGCAACGCCGUGUGCGGGAUGACGGCCUUCGGGUUGUAAACCGCUUUCGCUCAUGACGAAGCUUCGUGUGACGGUAGUGGGUAAAGAAGCACCGGCUAACUACGUG
RNAcentral lists this ribosomal RNA (270 nucleotides) under uncultured bacterium. RNAcentral describes it as "partial 16S ribosomal RNA". It matches the Rfam family "Bacterial small subunit ribosomal RNA", at positions 225 to 507 of the family's 1533-position model. The record is from RNAcentral.